GACGAACGCUGGCGGCGUGCCUAACACAUGCAAGUCAACUUGACUGAAGGAGCAAUCUGACAGUAGAGUGGCGCAAGGGUGCGUAACGCGUAAGUAACUUGCCCAAGGGAAGGAAUAACGUCGAGAAAUCGGCGCUAAUACCUCAUAAUGCAGCGGAUCCGCAUGGAUAUGUUGUUAAAGGUUUACCGCCUUGGGAUAGGCUUGCGUCUGAUUAGCUAGUUGGUGUGGUAACGGCACACCAAGGCUACGAUCAGUAACUGGUCUGAGAGGAUGAUCAGUCACACUGGAACUGAGACACGGUCCAGACUCCUACGGGAGGCAGCAGUGAGGAAUAUUGGGCAAUGCUCGAAAGAGUGACCCAGCAACGCCGCGUGGAGGAUGAAGGUAUUCUAUAUCGUAAACUACCUGUGAGAGCAGACGAAAGAACAGAUUAUUAAUACUGGAUGACUGUAUGCUCAGAGGAAGA
This 466-nucleotide ribosomal RNA is filed under the name uncultured bacterium. RNAcentral's name for it is "bacterial SSU rRNA". It matches the Rfam family "Bacterial small subunit ribosomal RNA", at positions 28 to 491 of the family's 1533-position model. The record is from RNAcentral.